UGGCUCAGGAUGAACGCUGGCGGCGUGCUUAACACAUGCAAGUCGAACGGUGAACACGGAGCUUGCUCUGUGGGAUCAGUGGCGAACGGGUGAGUAACACGUGAGCAACCUGCCCCUGACUCUGGGAUAAGCGCUGGAAACGGCGUCUAAUACUGGAUACGAGUAGCGACCGCAUGGUCAGUUACUGGAAAGAUUUAUUGGUUGGGGAUGGGCUCGCGGCCUAUCAGCUUGUUGGUGAGGUAAUGGCUCACCAAGGCGUCGACGGGUAGCCGGCCUGAGAGGGUGACCGGCCACACUGGGACUGAGACACGGCCCAGACUCCUACGGGAGGCAGCAGUGGGGAAUAUUGCACAAUGGGCGCAAGCCUGAUGCAGCAACGCCGCGUGAGGGAUGACGGCCUUCGGGUUGUAAACCUCUUUUAGCAGGGAAGAAGCGAAAGUGACGGUACCUGCAGAAAAAGCGCCGGCUAACUACGUGCCAGCAGCCGCGGUAAUACGUAGGGCGCAAGCGUUAUCCGGAAUUAUUGGGCGUAAAGAGCUCGUAGGCGGUUUGUCGCGUCUGCUGUGAAAUCCGGAGGCUCAACCUCCGGCCUGCAGUGGGUACGGGCAGACUAGAGUGCGGUAGGGGAGAUUGGAAUUCCUGGUGUAGCGGUGGAAUGCGCAGAUAUCAGGAGGAACACCGAUGGCGAAGGCAGAUCUCUGGGCCGUAACUGACGCUGAGGAGCGAAAGGGUGGGGAGCAAACAGGCUUAGAUACCCUGGUAGUCCACCCCGUAAACGUUGGGAACUAGUUGUGGGGUCCAUUCCACGGAUUCCGUGACGCAGCUAACG
Molecule: ribosomal RNA, 829 nt
Filed under: Microbacterium sp. MOLA 1486
Lineage: Bacteria; Bacillati; Actinomycetota; Actinomycetes; Micrococcales; Microbacteriaceae
Description: bacterial SSU rRNA
Rfam family: Bacterial small subunit ribosomal RNA
Source: RNAcentral